UACGAAGGGGGCUAGCGUUGCUCGGAAUCACUGGGCGUAAAGGGCGCGUAGGCGGCCAUUCAAGUCAGGGGUGAAAGCCUGUGGCUCAACCACAGAAUUGCCUUUGAUACUGUUUGGCUAGAGACCGGAAGAGGUAAGUGGAACUGCGAGUGUAGAGGUGAAAUUCGUAGAUAUUCGCAAGAACACCAGUGGCGAAGGCGGCUUACUGGUCCGGUUCUGACGCUGAGGCCCGAAAGCGUGGGGAGCAAACAGG
RNAcentral lists this ribosomal RNA (253 nucleotides) under uncultured bacterium. RNAcentral's name for it is "partial 16S ribosomal RNA". It matches the Rfam family "Bacterial small subunit ribosomal RNA", at positions 524 to 776 of the family's 1533-position model. The record is from RNAcentral.